UACGUAGGGUGCGAGCGUUAAUCGGAAUUACUGGGCGUAAAGCGUGCGCAGGCGGUUGUGCAAGACAGAUGUGAAAUCCCCGGGCUUAACCUGGGAACUGCAUUUGUGACUGCACAGCUGGAGUGCGGCAGAGGGGGAUGGAAUUCCGCGUGUAGCAGUGAAAUGCGUAGAUAUGUGGAGGAAUACCGAUGGCGAAGGCAGCCCCCUGGGAUAACACUGACGCUCAUGCACGAAAGCGUGGGGAGCAAACAGG
Molecule: ribosomal RNA, 253 nt
Filed under: uncultured bacterium
Lineage: Bacteria
Description: partial 16S ribosomal RNA
Rfam family: Bacterial small subunit ribosomal RNA
Source: RNAcentral